UUUCCGUAGGUGAACCUGCGGAAGGAUCAUUAAAGAGAUCAUGCCCUCACGGGUAGACCUCCCACCCUUUGUUUACAAUACCUUUGUUGCUUUGGCGGGCCCGUUUGGCCCCGCGCUGAACAACCGGCCCUGGCUGGUCAGUGCCCUCCAGAGAACCGAAAACUCUGAAUUAAAUGUCGUCUGAGUACUAUGUAAUAGUUAAAACUUUCAACAACGGAUCUCUUGGUUCUG
This 231-nucleotide unclassified non-coding RNA is filed under the name plant metagenome. RNAcentral describes it as "partial contains small subunit ribosomal RNA, internal transcribed spacer 1, and 5.8S ribosomal RNA". The record is from RNAcentral.